GUCCUGGCAACCAGAUCCGUGUAUACUGUGGUAGUGGAUGCCCAUUACCCACAUGUGAAAUACCUAACCCACCAACUACAGUGUGCCCACAGUUUUGUCGCACUUGUAUUUGUCCCACCAAUACAGUAUUGAAAGGAGAUUAUUGCAUACCAUAUAACCAGUGUUUUUCCACCACUACAACACCACCGUCAACAGUUUGUCCUGGCAACCAGAUCGAAGUAGAGUGUGGUAGUGGAUGCCCAUUACCCACAUGUGAAAGACCUAUCCCUCCUACAAUAUGUAUACCAAUUUGUCGUACUUGUGUUUGUCCCAUCAAUACAGUAUGGGAUGGGAACUAUUGCAUACGAUAUAGCGAGUGUCCUUCUACUGCUACAACACAACCAGCAGUUGGUUAGAAGAUGACAUUUAGACAAUGGAUACUUAAGAGAACAACGUACAAACUUCCCUUUUUUUAUAUUUGGUGGUUGCUUGGUGUAAAUAAAAAAUUGCUUUAUAUCUGCUAGCUGUAUAAUACACCAGUUGCAGUGAAUUUUUAUUCACUAUAGGUUUAACACAACUUAAAUUUACUUGCAGUUUGGCAUAUUUUGUAUCAAAUAUUGAUUUGAAAAAACUUUAUUGUUUAUAUGCAAAUAAUUUCAUGCACACAGUUUAUGCAAGAAAAUAUUUCACACAAACCAAAUAAAGGAACCUGCGUAACAAUUUA
Molecule: non-coding RNA, 703 nt
Organism: Ciona intestinalis (vase tunicate)
Lineage: Eukaryota; Metazoa; Chordata; Ascidiacea; Phlebobranchia; Cionidae
Source: RefSeq, a predicted model, not a curated record